Molecule: ribosomal RNA, 392 nt
Filed under: uncultured bacterium
Lineage: Bacteria
Description: bacterial SSU rRNA
Rfam family: Bacterial small subunit ribosomal RNA
Source: RNAcentral
GACGAACGCUGGCGGCGUGCUUAACACAUGCAAGUCGAGCGGUAAGGCCCUUUCGGGGGUACACGAGCGGCGAACGGGUGAGUAACACGUGGGUGACCUGCCUUCAGCUCUGGGAUAAGCCUGGGAAACCGGGUCUAAUACCGGAUAUGACCUCAUGACGCAUGUUGUGGGGUGGAAAGCCUUUGUGCGGCUGGGGAUGGGCCCGCGGCCUAUCAGCUUGUUGGUGGGGUGANGGCCUACCAAGGCGACGACGGGUAGCCGGCCUGAGAGGGCGACCGGCCACACUGGGACUGAGACACGGCCCAGACUCCUACGGGAGGCAGCAGUGGGGAAUCUUGCGCAAUGGGCGGAAGCCUGACGCAGCGACGCCGCGUGAGGGAUGACGGCCUCGG